Oncorhynchus tshawytscha (Chinook salmon) is the source of this 1268-nucleotide long non-coding RNA. Lineage: Eukaryota; Metazoa; Chordata; Actinopteri; Salmoniformes; Salmonidae. The record is from Ensembl.
GAGAGACUGGGAUGACCAACACUGGUAGGCAGACAGACUGGGAUGACCAACACUGGUAGGUAGAGAGACUGGGAUGACCAACACUGGUAGGCAGACAGACUGGGAUGACCAACACUGGUAGGCAGAGAGACUGGGAUGACCAACACUGGUAGGUAGAGAGACUGGGAUGACCAACACUGGUAGGUAGAGAGACUGGGAUGACCAACACUGGUAGGUAGAGAGACUGGGAUGACCAACACUGGUAGGUAGAGAGACUGGGAUGACCAACACUGGUAGGCAGAGAGACUGGGAUGACCAACACUGGUAGGCAGAGAGACUGGGAUGACCAACACUGGUAGGUAGAGACAGACUGGGAUGACCAACACUGGUAGGCAGAGAGACUGGGAUGACCAACACUGGUAGGCAGAGAGACUGGGAUGACCAACACUGGUAGGUAGAGACAGACUGGGAUGACCAACACUGGUAGGUAGAGACAGACUGGGAUGACCAACACUGGUAGGUAGAGACAGACUGGGAUGACCAACACUGGUAGGCAGAGAGACUGGGAUGGCCAACACUGGUAGGUAGAGAGACUGGGAUGACCAACACUGGUAGGUAGAGACAGACUGGGAUGACCAACACUGGUAGGUAGAGACAGACUGGGAUGACCAACACUGGUAGGUAGAGACAGACUGGGAUGACCAACACUGGUAGGUAGAGACAGACUGGGAUGACCAACACUGGUAGGUAGAGACAGACUGGGAUGACCAACACUGGUAGGCAGAGAGACUGGGAUGGCCAACACUGGUAGGUAGAGAGACUGGGAUGACCAACACUGGUAGGUAGAGAGACUGGGAUGACCAACACUGGUAGGUAGAGACAGACUGGGAUGACCAACACUGGUAGGUAGAGACAGACUGGGAUGACCAACACUGGUAGGUAGAGAGACUGGGAUGACCAACACUGGUAGGUAGAGAGACUGGGAUGACCAACACUGGUAGGUAGAGACAGACUGGGAUGACCAACACUGGUAGGUAGAGACAGACUGGGAUGACCAACACUGGUAGGCAGACAGACUGGGAUGACCAACACUGGUAGGUAGAGACAGACUGGAUGACCAACACUGGUAGCUUGGCAUGUAAAGGCGAGGAAGAUGCCAAUGCCACUACAGUAUAUCUCCAUGGAAGUAUGAACCCCCAUAGCUAGCUACAGUUGGGCUCAAUUCCAUUUCAAUUCCAGUCAAUUCAGGAAGUAAAAGUAUCUCCAAUACUUUUCAAUGAGGAAUUGGA